GAUAAUGUAGCGUAAUCAAUAGCCAAUUAAUUGUUGGCCGGUAUGAAUGGCAUCACGAAGGCCCCACUGUCUUAAGAGGACUCUCCAUGAAAUUGAAAUCGUAGUGAAGAUGCUACGUCCAUAUUGUAAGACGAAAAGACCCCAUUGAGCUUUACUAAAGACUUGUAUGGCUCGAAAUAACUUAAAUAAAAAGUUUAGAUAAUGUGGGAUCCGUUUUGGUUAAUGAAACACCACUCUUUUAUUUUAAGAGAGCUAACCUUGUAGGGAGAAUGCAAGUUGGAUAGUUUGGUUGGGGCGACCACCUUUUAAAAGGUAACGAAGGUGAGCUUAAGGUCCGUAGUUAAUAGCUAGUGGCCUGACUGCAAGGGGGACAUCCCGAGCAGACACUGGUAAUCUCUCAGUGGGUUAUAGUGACCCGUCAUCUUAGAGUGGAAUAGUUGACGAUCAACGAAUAAAA
This 457-nucleotide ribosomal RNA is filed under the name Metridium senile fimbriatum. Its description in RNAcentral is "partial 16S ribosomal RNA". It matches the Rfam family "Bacterial large subunit ribosomal RNA", at positions 1950 to 2461 of the family's 2925-position model. Lineage: Eukaryota; Metazoa; Cnidaria; Anthozoa; Actiniaria; Metridiidae. The record is from RNAcentral.